Ictidomys tridecemlineatus (thirteen-lined ground squirrel) is the source of this 697-nucleotide non-coding RNA. Lineage: Eukaryota; Metazoa; Chordata; Mammalia; Rodentia; Sciuridae. The record is from RefSeq and is a predicted model, not a curated record.
GGGGACGGGAAUAGGAAAGACAGAAUGAAUCGGACAUCACUUUUCUAUGUUCGUAUUUGAAUAUCUGACCAGUGAAGCUCCACAUCCGGUACAACCAAAAGAAUGGGGAGGGGUCAGCUGCUCUGGACUUGGAGUUGGAAGAUGGAUCUGAAAUCCUGAUUAAGAUUUCUGUGGACUUGUAAAAUACAGCUGUGCCAUCCUGGAUAACUUGCAUGACAUUUCUGUACCUCUGUGGGUCCUCUCCAGAGCUUCCUCCAGGGUCACAGGUCUCCACAGUUUUCUCAAAGGACAGAGGAGGUGACCAGGAGGCUGAAAAGCAUCUGGAUUCUGUCUCAGGAAUCAUUAGAAGAUGUGCUUCAUCAGAACAAGCCCAGAAAUCAAGACGGGAAGACAGAGGGUUUGGCAAGCAGGGAUACCGCACAACACAGAGGGGUCUCAGAGAAAAUGUAUCCAGGGAAAUAAGCGGAGGACAACUCUAAAUGGACCGUCCCAGGGAGAAACAAAAGAAAUGUCUGAUUAGUUGAAUCAUUUGGAAAGUAGUAUUAACAAUGUGUGUAACAGACACGUUGUUACAUUUGUUUUAAAACAAGUAAAGUACUCAGAGAAAACCAAAUGUAUGAAAAAUAAUAAAAAAUAAUAAAAACAAGCUUUCAAGAAAAGGAAAGAGGAUCAUGAUGUACAACUUGACUAAUGAGUG